UUCAUUUUGAAGCGGAACUGAAACUCUGCGUUACUGUUUCCUUCAGGGACUCCUUAAAGUCACGGACGACCGGAAGUGGUCGCAAAUUUAAACAGCCAUCAGAACAACAAUACGCGCGGACUUUACUUCACGGGCUGUGUGGGGUGCAGACCUGACCCAAGUCCAAGCUGACGGCAACAGCAUGGAAGAAGAAACAAUAACGACCGAGACGGCAGAAGGUGAUGUGGCGCCCAAUGAGGAAGAGCCUAGUGUAGAAAUGACCAAUGACAGUCCAUCUAAAAGAGGAAGGGGAAGGCCAAAAGGUGCAAAGAAGCUAGAAGUCGGAGUUACCGACGUCAACCUAAUGGUUUCAGGCAUUUCUAACGGUGGACCCCCACAGACCCAGAGAGGAAGGGGACGUCCGAAACUCAUUAAACCCACAGAGCAGCAAGGAUCAGGAGACAACAAUGCUGACGAUUCAGGGUCCCAGAAACAGGCCAGUGAUGAAGAUGGUGCUACGACAGAACUUUCUCCUAAGAAAAGAGGCAGGCCACGUAAGUCUCUCAGCACCCCUGCAAAGGUUGAUACACCAAAAAGACAAAGGGGUCGACCAAAAGGAUCCACGAAGCGCAAGUCAGAGAGUCCGAGUGAAUCAGGCUCUCCUAAUAAGAAACCCAGGCAGGAAGCCGUGAAGAAGAGAGGUCGGCCCAGGAAGGUUGAGGGAGCAUCAAAUGGCAUCUCAAAGAAGUCGCAUAGAGGGAGGGGAAGGCCCAGAAAAAGUAUUGAACAGGAGAGCGGAGAUGAAAAGAGGAGAAGGGGUCGACCAAAAGGCUCUCUUAAUAAGAAACCUGUUGCAUAUAAGGUGCAAGCUAAGGUAGGCCGAGCCAACAAAGGGAAGCGUGGUCGACCGAGAAAAGAACCAGCCACAAGAGGAAGACCAAGGAAAUAUCCCCGGCCGUCAGCAGAGGAGCUGAACAAGCCACGAGUAUGGAAGCCGCUGGGAAGGCCCAGGAAAUACCCACGUCCCGAUCCUCCUGAGGAGUCUUCACCAACCCCUCCCAGAAACCGCGGCCGACCUCGCAAGACAGAGUCCAAAAAAGGCGCUCACCUACGCAAGAAUUUCCCUGCCUCUUCUUCCUCGCCACCUAGCCCCAAUGUUGAACCCCCGAGAAAAAGGGGCCGUCCCCCAAAAAGUGAUGCCGACCCCCCACGGAAACUGGGCCGCCCUAAAGGUUCAGUCAACAAAAAUAAAGCCACAAGUGAAUUAGAAGCCGCACCCCCCAGCGAGGCAAGUGAAGAACAGACGGUGGAAGAGGAAGUGCAGCAGAACGCAGAGACGUCCAUUGAGGAUGUUUCUGAAGAGUCGCUCAUCGACCAGGCAGCCAGCUUUGAAGUCACAAACCAGACUUGAUGAACUAUUCUGGUCCGACCAAAAAGUUGCUGUAGUACUUGCUGUUUAAAACAUAGAAGACAAACCUGUCAAUGAAACGUGUUUUUAACAUUUCGUCAGUCGGCUGGGCUAGAUAUUCAGCAGCUCUUGUUUUCUCUAAAGUGUCCAUCUUGUUUUAUCGUGCUUGAUUUUUAUUUUAUUUUUAAAGUACUUUAUUUCUGUCAUGAGUAGCAGGGUUUCUGUUAGCCGUUAAUUACCGUUUUUUUAGCUGGUAAAAUGUAUAAUAAACCGGUAAAUUCAAAACCUGCCGGUCAAAAUGUCCGGUAAUAAUGCUCAUACAUCACUUAGAUAUCGUAUCCCUAUGCAUUUGUCUUUUGACUGCUACGUUACUUUACUGGUGCUGCGUCAUGACAUCACCGUUUACGUCGCUGAUUUUCUCCCCAACGCCGCUCGCAACAACAACAACAGUCGGGGACCGUCGGGUCGAUGAUCGGCAUGCUUUUAGUCAUGCGAAGCCAGAUUGAAUUAAAGAACUACUUCUCAAACCUUAUCCUUUUUUCCAGAAUGCCAUGGUUCAUAGUGAAUGUGUUCAGUUUGAAUUGACGCUGUUAUGAAAGUUGCUCUGGUAUAAGACAGGUGAUGUUAGCAUGGCAGCCCAAGCUAAUCUUACUAUCUUGACCACCUGUUGCUAUCUUAUUGUGCAGCCGUUUUCUACAGGCAUAUUUUACCCGCGAAGAGCAAGGGCUUAAUCAGCCUCUAGCGUUCGGGGGUCGGGGAAAAUACUUGUUAACAUUAUAGUUGCAUUUGUUAUUGAAACAUGACCGGUAAGUUUCGAAUUUGUCCGGUAAAAUAAAUUAUUUCUGGACACUUGACCGGCAAGAAAAAGUCCUAGCGGAAACCCUGAUGAGUAGUACUAAUAACCUUUUACUUAAACUGGCAUGUUGAGUUUAUUAUUAUAGGCUGACACCCAGUUUUUAUUUAGCUUUCAGAUGGUAGUGUAUGUUGGAUGGGCUGUAUCUAUAAGAUGGUUGCUGUGGAAAGACGUGAAGGAAUAAAUAAGUCCAAAGUAAUUUUGUAAAAAAUAAAGAACAGUGAAACCAUAAAGAGCAAAAAGCCCGACACGACAUCAGGGCGAGCCUCUGUCCCAGUAUCGUGUAACUCAAUACAAUCUGUCUUUUCUGCAUUUUUUUUAUUGCUCUUUCUGGAAAAAAAAAUAACGUGUUCUUGAGGUUUACUUUCCAUAUUGUAGGGCAUACUUGUCAGCCACUUUCGUUUCCAUCACUUUCUCAUAUAGUCAUGUAAAUAAAAGGCCUCUUUGAACUGAAAUAUAUGCGCCUGAUGUUUCUUGUGUCAUGCACAUACUGACUCCCAUCCCACUUGGACUUCCAAAACACAGAAACCUGUGAAGGACUCCUUAACAUCUCGGACGACCGGAAAUGGUCGCAAAUUUAAACAGCCAUCACAGCAACAAUACGCGCGGACUUUACUUCACGGGCUGUGUGGGGUAUCGGUGCAUUUAUGAAAAAUAAGAUAAAUUCCUGCAGAAGAUUUCUCUAAGGUGCAAACCUGAAAGAAGCAGUCCAAGCUGACGGCAACAGCAUGGAAGAAGAAACAAUAACGACCGAGACGGCAGAAGGAGAUGUGGCGCCCAAUGAGGAAGAGCCUAGUGUAGAAAUGACCAAUGACAGUCCAUCUAAAAGAGGAAGGGGAAGGCCAAAAGGUGCAAAAAAGCUGAAGGUUGGAGUUACCGACGUCAACCUAAUGGUUUCGGGCAUUUCUAAUGGUGGACCACCACAGACCCCGAGAGGAAGGGGACGUCCGAAACUCAUUAAACCCACAGAGCAGCAAGGAUCAGGAGACAACAAUGCCGACGAUUCAGGGUCCCAGAAACAGGCCAGUGAUGAAGAUGGUGCUACGUCAGAACAUUCUCCUAAGAAAAGAGGCAGGCCACGUAAGUCUCUCAGCACCCCUGCAAAGGUUGAUACACCAAAAAGACAAAGGGGUCGACCAAAAGGAUCCACGAAGCGCAAGUCAGAGAGUCCGAGUGAAUCCGAGAGUCCGGGUGAAUCAGAGAGUCCGAGUGAAUCCGAGAGUCCGAGUGAAUCAGGCUCUCCUAAUAAGAAACCCAGGCAGGAAGCAGUGAAGAAGAGAGGUCGGCCCAGGAAGGUUGAGGGAGCAUCAAAUGGCAUCUCAAAGAAGUCGCAUAGAGGGAGGGGAAGGCCCAGAAAAAGUAUUGAACAGGAGAGCGGAGAUGAAAAGAGGGGAAGGGGUCGACCAAAAGGCUCUCCUAAUAAGAAACCUGUUGCAUAUAAGGUACAAGCUAAGGUAGGCCGAGCCAACAAAGGGAAGCGUGGUCGACCGAGAAAAGAACCAGCCACAAGAGGAAGACCAAGGAAAUAUCCCCGGCCGUCAGCAGAGGAGCUGAACAAGCCACGAGUAUGGAAGCCGCUGGGAAGGCCCAGGAAAUACCCGCGUCCCGAUCCUCCUGAGGAGUCUUCACCAACCCCUCCCAAGAACCGUGGCCGACCUCGCAAGACAGAGUCCAAAAAAGGCGCUCACCUACGCAAGAAUUUCCCUGCCUCUUCUUCCUCGCCACCUAGCCCCAAUGUUGAACCCCCAAGAAAAAGGGGCCGUCCCCCAAAAAGUGAUGCUGACCCCCCACGGAAACUGGGCCGCCCUAAAGGUUCAGUCAACAAAAAUAAAGCCACAAGUGAAUUAGAAGCCGCACCCCCCAGCGAGGCAAGUGAAGAACAGACGGUGGAAGAGGAAGUGCAGCAGAACGCAGAGACGUCCAUUGAGGAUGUUUCUGAAGAGUCGCUCAUCGACCAGGCAGCCAGCUUUGAAGUCACAAACCAGGCUUGAUGAACUAUUCUGGUCCAACCAAAAAGUUGCUGUAGCCUAGUACUUGCUGUUUAAAACAGAGAAGACAAACCUGUCAAUGAAACGUGUUUUUAACAUUUCGUCAGUCGGCUGGGCUAGAUAUUCAGCAGCUCUUGUUUUCUCUAAAGUGUCCAUCUUGUUUUGUCGUGCUUGAUUUUUAUUCUUUAUUUCUGUCAUACGAGUAGUACUAAUAACCUUUCACUAAAACUGGCAUGUCAUAUUGAUCAUUAUAGACUAGUAUUUUCAAAAACAUAAGCUUAGUUAAACUGUAAAACGAUUACUGUGGAAUGACUCGGAAGGGGGGGGGAGGCCCAAAAAUGCUGAAAAAAAUUGUGUGACUAGAGAGCCAAAAUCCUGACUUGAAAUGUAUUUUUUUUAAAGGUUUAACAUUAACCAGAUUUUAGGAUUAACUCAAUAAAGAGCUAGAUCAAAGAUUUUUUCCAAUUGCCAUAUAUUUUUUGGUUUCUAAAAAACUCAAGUACAGAUGAUUAGAAAUGAAACUUAUUAUUUUUGUAUAUUUUUGGGUAACAAUGUAAGGGGUAAUAAUGUAUCUACAGAUGAGUAUCACUUCAGCUUACUAUUGUGAAUCUGUGAGAGUGCUUGCUGGAUACAAUAUGUCUAAAUACUGUCAUACUUUUCUCAAUACCAUUUCACUGUUGUUUUGCCUUAAUUGCCAAAGCUUUGAAUGUACCAUUACUUACAGUUCCUGAGAGCAGUGUGUUUCCUUUCUCCCUACUUGUACAUUCCUCAGCAGGACAUUAAAGCUCUAUGAAAUGCCUUCCUGCCACUCAGUUCCUUUUUUAGUUAUUGAUACAGUUAGUUCACUCUUUUAUCUAAAUGUUUAGUUGUAUCUGUGAAGCAUCUUGUGUCCUUUUAACUGUCUUGAGAUUAAUUCAUGUGAUCGGAUUGCUUUCACAAACAUUCAUUGACAUGUGUUUUUUUGGCACCUUGUGUACAAAUUGUGACCUGUUCAUGUUUACUGUUAGAAACAUUUUUUAGGGAUGGGUCAAAGAUUAUACAUUUCUAAAUGCCAAAUUGUUUAUCGGUUUGUAAUGUUAAACAAGUUGAUAUGAAGUCUGACUAUUUUAGUGGACAUUUGAAUUGUGUGUGUUUUUGAACAAGGAGUCAAUUAUUUGUUGUUUUUAAAUAAAAAAUAAAUAUUGCUGUUUUAUUUUCCACAA
Molecule: RNA transcript, 5430 nt
Organism: Eleginops maclovinus (Patagonian blennie)
Lineage: Eukaryota; Metazoa; Chordata; Actinopteri; Perciformes; Eleginopidae
Gene name: serine/arginine repetitive matrix protein 1-like
Exons: 4
Source: RefSeq, a predicted model, not a curated record